Mesocricetus auratus (golden hamster) is the source of this 2733-nucleotide long non-coding RNA. RefSeq lists it as uncharacterized. The record is from RefSeq and is a predicted model, not a curated record. The transcript has 2 exons. Lineage: Eukaryota; Metazoa; Chordata; Mammalia; Rodentia; Cricetidae.
CACAUAUACUUGAGGGUAUAUGUAGUAUUUCAGCAAAUUUACAGCAAUUUUUCAAUGUAUAUUUUAGUUAUAUUCUACCAGUAGUACUUGGAUUACAUUUGCUUAUAAAAUAUACAGAUAUUCAGUACAAACAAUCAUAUAUUUUAGUUUCAAAUGUGUCAAAUCUAGACUAUAUAAAGAAUGUUAAUCUAUUACUCUGAUGAAGCUUAGAAAUGUAAAUGUGCAAAAAUAGAGAAAGGACAUAGAAAGCACAUGGAGUGAUGAUCUUUUAAGCACUUCCAUGAUAAGAGAUGCAGUCUUCAGCUCUGGUGAACACAAACAGAAUCCAAAAGAAUUAAGCACUGCAGUGUGAUAGAUGGAUGGAGGAGAAGGUACCUGGGUCAGGUGAUAAACCUUUUUACUGCUGAUUCACCUGGUACUUUUCCACUCUAACCUGUACAAAGAUACUUCAGGAAAUGACCACAUAGAUUUCUGGCCUAAUGAUUUUCAUUUUUAAUUUUCAUUAUAUCAUUUUAUUCCCCCACUUUGGGAGAUUCGUGUUUUAGUUCACUCACAGUUCUGCAUAUUAUAAACACAAACUUCAGUGCUGUCUUGAUAUAUGUAUUUAAUGAAAUAUUAACUGGAUGGCCUUUAUAGAAACAGAAUCACACAAAAGAGUUGUAAAAAAAAGGCAUUUGGUGUCAUCUGUGCCUCCUUUUUCUAGAGAUAAUUCUAUCCUUUCAAUUUACUAAAAAACUAAUAUCAAACACUACCAUUUACUUAACUGUUUGUUGUAGGACAAAUAGAGAGCAGCAAAUAAAACCAGUGAAGUCUAUACUUCCUACCACUACAAGAUGUCUAGGUGUUAUUAUGCAUUCCUCACCAUAGGUCAGUUGCUUAGCGACCAGAGAAGUAGGGAACUAUUAAUUGAAAGUGUUCUGUAUUGCUGGCAAUGCUUGCUAUAGGACGCUGAAUUUAGGAACAAAAAAUAUUGUCAGAGAAAAAUGCUGCAAGGGAUGAAAAAAAAAGGAUUGCAGCAUUAUCUUACUUGAAUUCUUUUUGUUGUUGUUCACUCUGCAUGUGGUAAGUUUUCAUGACAAAAUGUUUUCCUUUUUUCUGUCUUGCAUAAAAAUAGGAUUAGAAUUGAUUUUAUCCUUAAGAAAAAUGAUUUGUAUCAGAACUGUGUGGUCUAUUGAAAAUAGGUAAGCAGAAGACAAAGGAGGAAGAAGAGGACAAAGGAACCUUAGAAACAGCAAUAGGUUAGAUUGAGGACUGUUCACGACUCUGUGGUGUUUCUGAUGCUAAUAUCUUAGGAUAGACACAAAAAGGGAGAGAACAGGAAGAGGUACAAAACCACACAUACACACAGGGAAGUAAAAUUGAAAACAAAAUAACAAUCUUCUAGUUGCUACGUUGGAAAUCCAUUCAUACCAACUCCCAUAAAUGGGUUGUAAACAUUUUCUACCAGCCUUUGAAGCAUGGGUGUAUAUUAAGUAAACAAUCAAUCAUUUCUAUAUAGUAUAUAAUGCAUGUGCCCUUCGAAAGAAGAUGGCCAGUUAUUAAUGACUUUUAAUUAAUAACUGUACUUUAAAAGAGAAGAUGUCCUUGCUAAGACCAGGACUGACUAUGAAACUAGCUCAACUCCAUGUUGCCAUAUUUACUUCAAGAAUUCAGAGAGGAUGGAGAGAAGGCUCAGUGAUAAAGAGUACUGACUGCUCUUCCAGAGGACACAGGUUCAAUUCCCAGCAUCCACAUGGCAGCGCACAACUGCCUGUAAAUGUAGUUCCCGUGGAUCUUAUACCCUCACAAAGAUAUAUAUACAGACAAAAAAAAUCAAUGCUUGUAAAAUAAUCAGGUGCUAUAGUUCUACAUUUCUAGACUUAUGUGUGAGUGGACAUGUGUGUGUGUUUGUUUGGGGGUGUGGGUGUGUGACAGAGAGAGAGACAGAGACAAAGAAAGACAUAGACAGACAGAAGUGUUUCAGAUCACAGGUCCCCAAGCACAUCAACUUGCUGUAGUGAUCUAGAGUGAAGUUGCAAGGACAUAGGCUCUAAGCAAAUCUUGGAGGAGUAAAAGAGACUCUUGAAAAGACUCAUACAUUUGAUAAUAAUUUUUUUAUUUAUCAAAGCUUGAUACAUAGUAAGCUAAACAUAUAGCUCAGUGUUUUGAAUUCGGACUGUGUUUGUGAAAAGUUGUAAUGUAUGUCUUGCUUUAUUUAUGUAUAAACACUACUCUGACUUUAGGUACCCUCUUUUCUUCCCUCCCUGUUAUUUUUCAUGAGGACACUUAUAAUUGAGCUUGGAAUUCCUUCUGUACCAGAAAGAGCAUGCCUUAGAUCCUUUCCUACUACAUCUGCAAAUGUCCAUAUCACAGGGUGUGGCAGGACUGGCCUAGCAGCUAGGAAUGUUGUAAGGAGAGACAGUAGUGCACGGACCCACCAUUUGGCUCAAGAACUGGCCCUACAAAGCAAGUGUAUGAUACAAUGAUCUGCCAUGGCCAUGCUCACAUACCUGCUGCCCUGCUGCGUCUCUAGUUCUGCUACUUUCUGCUGUUCCAGUCUGUCAUUUUUCACUUCCAAUUUCACGAAAACUUUUAAAAAAAGAAUCCCCUCAUAAAACAUGCCUUUUAAAGUUGUUUCAGAGAUAAUGUUUCAUUCUGUAGGUUCAUACUCUAUUCCUUGGAACAUCCAGAUGUCCCACAGGUGCUACGGUUUGCUGCAGUCUUGAGUCUGAAUCAAGAGGAGUAUUUCUUAAU